GCCCGGCUAGCGCAAUGGUAGCGCGUAAGACUUCUACUUUCUCUCCUUCCAAUCUCUCCCAAGUUUGGAUUCAAAGCGAUCUUAAGGCUGUGGGUUCGAGUCCCACGUCGGGCU
This is a non-coding RNA of Apiosordaria backusii, 114 nucleotides long. The record is from the annotation of a GenBank genome assembly. NCBI's taxonomy places the organism in Eukaryota, Fungi, Ascomycota, Sordariomycetes, Sordariales, Lasiosphaeriaceae.